UGCGCGUUGCUCCGUUGUAAUUCUCUCUUCGUACGUGGCGCAUCGUAGGAAAAAAACGAUAGCAAAAGAAUAAUUGAGAGUCCCAUAAAUGUUGGUUGGAUUCGGUUUAUUCGCGUUGAAAGAGAUUUCGAAGGCUGUUCGCACCUACGUGAACUCUCAAACCAAACAAAUAUCAGCAACACCGUCAACGCCAAUUGCAUCUCGCAUCGCAGUGACGCAGCAGCGAUGAUGCGGUGCGGUAAUGAUGGGAGGGAGACUCGGGGAAAACUAAUAGUGUCAGAAGGAUCGUAGCUCUAGCCCCGCAAUUGUCCUGUACACUCAACAGUUGGCUGCGAAGUCUGUGUAUAACAAACAGAAGUUCAAAUUUCAAGACGGAAUGUAGCACCAAGGCAUUGCUUUACAUUAUCAAUACACAAAAUUUAAAAUUGUUAAAAAAGUUGUUUAAGUUAAUAUUUCCGAAAUCUUAUUUUUUGUUAUGUAAACACUAUAAACGGUUAGCUAAAUAUUUGUUGUCUGAUCAUGGCAAACUGAGAGAGAAAAAGUUACGAUGGCAGUUCGUAACGUUAAUGACUUUUGGCCGAUAGCUACAAUUUUCCACCGCCGUGCAUCGGAAAUUGCCAUUCUCCGCCACAAACAUUUGCCGAACUUUUUCGGAUACAUUAUUUUUUCUUAGCCCUUUGUCCAUCUUGACGCCUUAUACCGACAAAAGCUUCUAACCAACUAGCAAUUUGCACUUGCGCUUGCACCUACCAGCU
Molecule: long non-coding RNA, 755 nt
Organism: Wyeomyia smithii (pitcher-plant mosquito)
Lineage: Eukaryota; Metazoa; Arthropoda; Insecta; Diptera; Culicidae
Exons: 3
Source: RefSeq, a predicted model, not a curated record